GCUGGGUGUGGUGGUGCACACCUGUAGUCCCAGCUACUUGGGAGGCUGAGGCAGAAGAAUUGCUUGAACCCAGGAGGUGGAGGUUGCAGUGAGCUGAGAUUGUGCCACUGCACUCCAGCCUGGGCAACAAGGCAAGACUCUGUCUCCA
Molecule: unclassified non-coding RNA, 148 nt
Organism: Macaca fascicularis (crab-eating macaque)
Lineage: Eukaryota; Metazoa; Chordata; Mammalia; Primates; Cercopithecidae
Rfam family: Metazoan signal recognition particle RNA
About the family: The signal recognition particle (SRP) is a universally conserved ribonucleoprotein.
Source: Ensembl